ACUUGGAAACAGGUGCUAAUACCGUAUAACAAUCAAAACCGCAUGGUUUUGAUUUGAAAGGCGCUUUCGGGUGUCGCUGAUGGAUGGACCCGCGGUGCAUUAGCUAGUUGGUGAGGUAACGGCUCACCAAGGCCACGAUGCAUAGCCGACCUGAGAGGGUGAUCGGCCACAUUGGGACUGAGACACGGCCCAAACUCCUACGGGAGGCAGCAGUAGGGAAUCUUCGGCAAUGGACGAAAGUCUGACCGAGCAACGCCGCGUGAGUGAAGAAGGUUUUCGGAUCGUAAAACUCUGUUGUUAGAGAAGAACAAGGAUGAGAGUAACUGUUCAUCCCUUGACGGUAUCUAACCAGAAAGCCACGGCUAACUACGUGCCAGCAGCCGCGGUAAUACGUAGGUGGCAAGCGUUGUCCGGAUUUAUUGGGCGUAAAGCGAGCGCAGGCGGUUUCUUAAGUCUGAUGUGAAAGCCCCCGGCUCAACCGGGGAGGGUCAUUGGAAACUGGGAGACUUGAGUGCAGAAGAGGAGAGUGGAAUUCCAUGUGUAGCGGUGAAAUGCGUAGAUAUAUGGAGGAACACCAGUGGCGAAGGCGGCUCUCUGGUCUGUAACUGACGCUGAGGCUCGAAAGCGUGGGGAGCAAACAGGAUUAGAUACCCUGGUAGUCCACGCCGUAAACGAUGAGUGCUAAGUGUUGGAGGGUUUCCGCCCUUCAGUGCUGCAGCUAACGCAUUAAGCACUCCGCCUGGGGAGUACGACCGCAAGGUUGAAACUCAAAGGAAUUGACGGGGGCCCGCACAAGCGGUGGAGCAUGUGGUUUAAUUCGAAGCAACGCGAAGAACCUUACCAGGUCUUGACAUCCUUUGACCACUCUAGAGAUAGAGCUUCCCCUUCGGGGGCAAAGUGACAGGUGGUGCAUGGUUGUCGUCAGCUCGUGUCGUGAGAUGUUGGGUUAAGUCCCGCAACGAGCGCAACCCUUAUUGUUAGUUGCCAUCAUUCAGUUGGGCACUCUAGCAAGACUGCCGGUGACAAACCGGAGGAAGGUGGGGAUGACGUCAAAUCAUCAUGCCCCUUAUGACCUGGGCUACACACGUGCUACAAUGGGAAGUACAACGAGUUGCGAAGUCGCGAGGCUAAGCUAAUCUCUUAAAGCUUCUCUCAGUUCGGAUUGCAGGCUGCAACUCGCCUGCAUGAAGCCGGAAUCGCUAGUAAUCGCGGAUCAGCACGCCGCGGUGAAUACGUUCCCGGGCCUUGUACAC
Molecule: ribosomal RNA, 1253 nt
Filed under: Enterococcus faecium
Lineage: Bacteria; Bacillati; Bacillota; Bacilli; Lactobacillales; Enterococcaceae
Description: bacterial SSU rRNA
Rfam family: Bacterial small subunit ribosomal RNA
Source: RNAcentral